RNAcentral lists this long non-coding RNA (253 nucleotides) under Mytilus galloprovincialis (Mediterranean mussel). The record is from RNAcentral. Lineage: Eukaryota; Metazoa; Mollusca; Bivalvia; Mytilida; Mytilidae.
CCUGGUAUUGAUCAUGACAAAAUUUAUCAAAAUUUACAGUCACCACAGAUGACACUGCCCCUGUCCAUUGUGCAUAGUCCUCCGAAGAGUUUGUACCUUGGAACAGAAUUAACAGAAUGAACUGGCCUGCACAGUGGUUUGACUUGAUUGAAUGUUAUAGAAAUGUUUGUUUAUUAUUAUUUUAACAAACAAAGAAAACUUCAAACACACACUGGGAUGAUUAAAUCUAAAAAUGAAUUGUCCCAAGAAAUCC